Long non-coding RNA from Crotalus tigris (Tiger rattlesnake), 2195 nucleotides. RefSeq lists it as uncharacterized. Lineage: Eukaryota; Metazoa; Chordata; Lepidosauria; Squamata; Viperidae. The transcript has 3 exons. The record is from RefSeq and is a predicted model, not a curated record.
GAAUGAUUGAAGGUGGAAAUGGAGAAGACGGAGGUGACCAUUAGUGUGGCGAUGGGUAGAGAGAUAGCUACCAUCAGGAUCAGAGGGUUUGAUGGGUGAGAUUGCUCCUGCUGGCCAGCCUUUUGCUUUUAUUCUUGAAGCUGUGAGAUCUUUGGUGGCCUGGAUUCCAGUUGCAGUUACAAAAUUCCAGUAUAUGAAAAUAUGGAUAAGUCAGGAUUGUGGUUCAUGGAAGGAUCCUUGUUAACCAGAAACUGAAAUCAGUCAGCCUUUGAAUUAACUCUUUACCUUUACCCGCAGAAAGCGGUCUGAGCUCAGCUGCCUGCUUUGGUGAUGAGUGGCACAAACACCCAGUCUUAUCAAGCAGGGCGGUGAGUGCCUCUGCAGUCCCUGAUCUGACAGCUUGAUACAGGAGAGCCACAACAAAGAAGCUGACAUGAAAGAGAAAAAGAAAUGUGAGAUUUCUACAUAUUUAUAUGAUGCCUGGGAGAAUAGAGGAGGAUCAUCGCGGCAAAAAACAAAACAAAAACCCCUACUGGAAUAAAUAACUACUCACCAAAGGUGCAAAAAAAAAAAAAACUUCAGCUUCAUGGAAAGAAGAAAAAGAUGUAAGAGCUCCAGAGAUUUCCUCCUGACCUACCCCAUGUGAGAUUCCCUGUCUCUAAGCUGUCUGCAUUUUUUUCCUGGCUCCCGUUUUAUUCCGAUUAUUACUUUUAUUAUAUGUUUAUUUAUCCCAUUAAUUUUAAGAAGUUGUCGAAUAAUAAUAUAAUAGGGAAAUAAAUAACAAACAAUUAAAAAUUAAGACUUCCCCACAACAACCUGCACCAAUAGAAAACCGGCUCAUUUAAAGACAAAUCAGAAAUCAAGACAACCGGCACUGAAAACGGGACCUGAGCCAGUCCCUGCUCAAUUGGUCUUUGGUUGCUACUUUGGCUCUAAAGGUGCCAAUGAAAAUUCAGGACAUCUGUUGUCUUUACCAAGGUCAAUAAAUCAUGAAGCUCAACACUGUCCAACAGAUAAUGGUUGUGAAAACCUACACCAGUAAAUUAUAAAUUAAAAUUAUGACAAGUAUAUCAAUGUAUGAACUAAUUCGAGCACUAAUUUAAAUUAGGUCUCAAAUGUUCCUGAGUAAAAGAACAUUUUUGAUCUAAUCUAAUGUAUGGCCCAAAAUGUGGGUCAGGGCAGUGAUUGUCUGGAAGAAGCUCUGAGUUCUGGGCCUCCUCUGAGCCCAGAGAUGGACCGUUAGCAGUGGUGGGUUCGCACCACUUCGGCAGAACCGGUAGCUAAUUUUUUGUUGCCCAGGCCUAGAAUGAACUUCCGGAAGUGGCAUCCACACAAAGAAUCAGUUGUUCACAUAUUUGAAUCCCACCACUGGCCGUUAGGUAGUACUCUUAGUUUGGGCAAAGCUAAAACCAUUCUGCAGUGAGAUCAAGCAAAUAAGCCAAUCCAGCUUGAAGGAUAGUUAAAUACUUGUAUCCCCAGGUUGUCCUUUUGACUUAAACUGAGAAACAUGGCCUCACAUUUGGUCACCUGUGGAACAAUGGAGAAACCUAGAACAAUUAUCCACUAAUUUCUUUGUCCACAAUUGGAUGGAGAAUUUCUCAGAGCCAUUUAAGUCUAGCUCUCCAUGGAACCCAUCCACAAAUAACAUGCUGCAUUUUGUUCAUCUCUUCAGUGCAUGAUUUUCAUCUGUAAAAUACAUCUAUAAAUUCUGGCUAGAGUUUCAUGCCUCCUCCCACUCUGGUGAACCAACUGAUUGAUUGCUAAUAUCAAAUAGAAGCCGAUAUCCAGAAAUAUUCUUGGGAUAUUUUCAAAAGCGAUAUAUUUUAUUACUUCUUUCACUCCCAUGCAAUGCUGUAUUAUUACUUCUUGUCUCCCCAAAACAUUUUGGCCCCACAUCCCCAGCCACCUUUUCAAUAUUCUUUAUUUUGCUAAUGUUUAUACGCCUUUAUUUUCCUUAUUUGGAAAAUACUUUUCUUUUUAAAAUAAAGCAUUCAAAGCUUUUGAAAGCUUCCUUGCCCAUUUUUAUAUCUAUUUCAGUUUCAUAGCUUUUGUAAUCUUUAAAAAACUUUAAAGUUUUUCACCAUGCAACUUCUGUGUGUUAUAUCAAUUUUGUAAUGGAGAAGGUUUAAGUAUAGAAAAUCUCUUCUCUAAGUUCUUUAAUGAUAUCAUAUUCCAUAUGGCCUCUAUUUGAAAUA